RNAcentral lists this ribosomal RNA (487 nucleotides) under uncultured Methylobacillus sp. RNAcentral's name for it is "bacterial SSU rRNA". It matches the Rfam family "Bacterial small subunit ribosomal RNA", at positions 30 to 507 of the family's 1533-position model. The record is from RNAcentral. Lineage: Bacteria; Pseudomonadati; Pseudomonadota; Betaproteobacteria; Nitrosomonadales; Methylophilaceae.
UUGAACGCUGGCGGCAUGCUUUACACAUGCAAGUCGGACGGCAGCAUGGAGUGCUUGCACUCUGAUGGCGAGUGGCGAACGGGUGAGUAAUAUAUCGGAACGUGUCCAAUAAUGGGGGAUAACUAGUCGAAAGAUUAGCUAAUACCGCAUACGCCCUGAGGGGGAAAGUGGGGGAUCUUCGGACCUCACGUUAAUGGAGCGGCCGAUAUCUGAUUAGCUAGUUGGUGGGGUAAAAGCCUACCAAGGCGACGAUCAGUAGCUGGUCUGAGAGGAUGAUCAGCCACACUGGGACUGAGACACGGCCCAGACUCCUACGGGAGGCAGCAGUGGGGAAUUUUGGACAAUGGGCGAAAGCCUGAUCCAGCCAUGCCGCGUGAGUGAAGAAGGCCUUCGGGUUGUAAAGCUCUUUCGCAAGGAAAGAAAACUUAUCUACUAAUACUAGAUGAGGAUGACGGUACCUUGAUAAGAAGCACCGGCUAACUACGUG